This 481-nucleotide ribosomal RNA is filed under the name uncultured Methanosaeta sp. RNAcentral's name for it is "bacterial SSU rRNA". It matches the Rfam family "Archaeal small subunit ribosomal RNA", at positions 856 to 1338 of the family's 1478-position model. Lineage: Archaea; Methanobacteriati; Methanobacteriota; Methanomicrobia; Methanotrichales; Methanotrichaceae. The record is from RNAcentral.
UCAAAUGAAUUGACGGGGAGCACCACAACGGGUGGAGCUUGCGGUUUAAUUGGAUUCAACGCUGGAAAUCUUACCGGGACCGACAGCAAUAUGAAGGCCAGGCUGAAGACUUUGCCGGAUUAGCUGAGAGGUGGUGCAUGGCCGUCGUCAGUUCGUACUGUGAAGCAUCCUGUUAAGUCAGGCAACGAGCGAGACCCACGCCCACAGUUGCCAGCGUACUCUCCGGAGUGACGGGUACACUGUGGGACCGCCGCUGCUAAAGCGGAGGAAGGAAUGGGCAACGGUAGGUCAGUAUGCCCCGAAUAUCCCGGGCUACACGCGAGCUACAAUGGUUGGUACAAUGGGUAUCUACCCCGAAAGGGGACGGGAAUCUCCUAAAACCAAUCUUAGUUCGGAUUGAGGGCUGCAACUCGCCCUCAUGAAGCUGGAAUCCGUAGUAAUCGCGUUUCAACAGAACGCGGUGAAUACGUCCCUGCUCCUU